AAACCGGAAUCAAAAAAAGAAAAGGCGGCUGUAUCUACUGUUUCCAAGUUCCAACAGGAACCUGGCUAUUUAAGUGAUGCUGAACUGUUGGCUGCUGCUGAAAAAGUCCUUGAGGAGUCUGAGGUGCCGGUCUCCACACAGCUUACCACCUGGGGAGAGCUCGCUCCAGUUGUGACUCAGGACUCUGCUAACAGGCCCAGUGCAUCUCAGGGAAGACCCACAGCCGAGAGAUCUUUAACUCUCUCUCCAGAGAGUUGAGGAAGAGCAGACUCGUGACGAAGAGGAGUCGGCAGAGCAAAGCGAGGAGGAGAUGGCAGAUUGGGUACAUUUCAGCGUUUCUUUCAUUCGAGAUAAUCACUGAGAUAUACCAGUGCAGCACAGCAGAAGUGAAACUGCUGUUACACACAUCAGUCUGACUGCUGCAGGGUCUGCUCUGUGAGGAACUACUCUGAUAAAGUACCUCACAAUCUUUCUUAGGUACAGUGGGCUACCCUUAAUAUUAGCACAGAGAGAAAUAACUUAAUAAAAGUAAAGUAAAUAAUAAUAAGUAAAUAAUAAAAUUAGAUCGUGAAUUCUCAUAUAGCUGGUGUGUCCUUCCUCGUUAGUAUAGUGGACAGUAUCUCCGCCUGUCACGCGGAAGACCGGGGU
This is a long non-coding RNA of Acanthopagrus latus (yellowfin seabream), 648 nucleotides long. RefSeq lists it as uncharacterized. Lineage: Eukaryota; Metazoa; Chordata; Actinopteri; Spariformes; Sparidae. The record is from RefSeq and is a predicted model, not a curated record. The transcript is spliced from 3 exons.